UAGAGAUGAGGUCUCACUAUGUUGCCCAGGCUGGUCCUGGUCUUGAACUCCUAGCCUCAAGUGAUCCUCCUACUUCAACCUCACUUUUGCUGGGAUUACAGGUCCUUGCGUGUUUAAGAAGAAAUGCCAAUCCCUCUGGUUUUCUUUGCUGGAGCAGCAAAGAGCAGCAAGGUGCCCAGCAGGAGCUCCUGGCACAACAAGCUCAUGCUGUGGAGAGACUCCUCACCAGGCGAUCAGCAGAGCCAAUCCUGCCACCAACAGAUGUGUUGAAUGCAGAGACUAAACUGUGAUUGUUUUCCUCCAACACACAAACACCCAUUACACACCAAACCCCAGCUGUCUUCCAACAACCGGCAGCCCAGGUUGAGUUGCUAUGUGUACACAGUUAGUUUCAACCCACCAUACCAGCAGUCACAGAUUCCUGGGCCCCAGAGUCCAGUUUAGGAAAGGGGGACAGUUCUGCUCAACAGUGAAUUCUGGUAUACCUCCGAGGGACCAGAACUGGCUUAAGAAAGGCUAGAAACACACUGUUGAAAAGAAAGUCCAAUAAGGAAAUUCUAAUGGAAUAUAAUUCUAUACACAUUUAAGAGGAUGAGUAUAAUUUUUUAUUCCUUUGCAAAAUUGGAAAUGCAGCCCUACUUUGAAGACCAUUUUCCUUACCUGGCAUACAAGCAUUAGAGGGCAGGAGGAAUAUGCUAAAGAGUGAGGGUCUGGCAUAAUGAGGCCUUCAUGUGAGUAUCCAUUGAGGAAGCAAUGCAGCCACCAUAGUCAGAACAAUGCAGCCGCCAUAGAAAAUGCACCCAGAGGAUGGGCGCAGUGGCUCACACCUGUAAUCCCAGCAUUUUGGGAGGCCGAGGCGGGCAGAUCACCUGAGGCCAGGAGUUUGAGACCAGUCUGGCCAAUAUGGUGAGACCCUGUCACUACCAAAAAUGUAAAAAUUAGCCAGCCCUGGUGGUGUGUGCCUGUAAUCCCAGCUACUCAGGAGGCUGAGGCAGGAGAAUUGCUUGAACCUGGGAGGCGGAGGUUGCAGUGAGCCAAGAUUGCACCACUGCACUCCAGCCUGGGCGACAGAGCGAGACUCCAUCUCAAAAAUUAAUUAAUUAAUUAAUUAAUUAAAGAAAAAUGCACCCAGAAAUGGAGUGAAAACAUGAGAGUGAAAACCGACCAGACAGUAGUCAAGUGACAAAUACAACUUCCACAGACAAGCCAAUAAGGAUGGCUUUAAUGGAACACCAGCGAAGGAGAGAAUAAAAACUGGGAUUGGGAAGGGACUGGAGAUGAGAAGAAGAAAGGGACAGCCAGCUGGGAUGAAAACAAGGACAGGAAGAGGGAGCAAAAGACAAGAAAGUUGUGCGUGGAAGGGCAGGCAUGGAGAAAGUGCAAGAGUUGGAAGGAAACAGUCAGUUUCGGUUCUGCUGGCCUGUAAUCCCAGCUAUUUGGGAGGCUGAGGCAGGGGAUUGGAUCGCUUGAGCCCAGGAGUUUAAGAAUAGCUUGGGCAACAUUGUGAGAGCCAGUCUCCAUAAAAAGGAGUUGGAAAGAAACACAUGAGACACAUGAUAGUCAAAUGACAUAAACCUGG
Molecule: long non-coding RNA, 1579 nt
Filed under: Homo sapiens (human)
Lineage: Eukaryota; Metazoa; Chordata; Mammalia; Primates; Hominidae
Description: HSALNT0101507
Source: RNAcentral